UUAAGUUCAGCGGGUAUCCCUACCUGAUUCGAGGUCAAACUGGGUGGUAUCUUCGUGGUCGCUAGCCCGCCGCAAGCCUCCCAGAGCGCAUUGUGCUGCGCAAGAAGCCGACGAUGCUGCUGCCAAUCAAUUUGGGGCGAGUCCUCGCGUGAAGCGGGGACAGACGCCCAACACCAAGCGGAGCUUGAGGGUGUAAAUGA
This 200-nucleotide unclassified non-coding RNA is filed under the name Pleosporales sp. Its description in RNAcentral is "partial internal transcribed spacer 2". The record is from RNAcentral. Lineage: Eukaryota; Fungi; Ascomycota; Dothideomycetes; Pleosporales.